Non-coding RNA from Notechis scutatus (mainland tiger snake), 240 nucleotides. NCBI's taxonomy places the organism in Eukaryota, Metazoa, Chordata, Lepidosauria, Squamata, Elapidae. The record is from RefSeq and is a predicted model, not a curated record.
AGUUGUUAAGUGAGCGUGUCAGGAUUCCAGCCAUCGCUCUAAUUAAAUCAUGAUUCUCGAGCCCAACUUCAAAAAACUUCAAAGGAUUCAUUAGCGGCGACAUGCUGGCACUGCCCUGUGUGAAGUCAACUCUGGCGUAUGUAAUUUACAGUCCCCUGUGACCCUGUUUCCCCCCCUCUCCCCAGGUGUCUCAUAAACCAGAUUCUCCAAUUGAGCACGUUCACGGGCUGGGUGUCAUCA